Molecule: non-coding RNA, 877 nt
Organism: Cinara cedri
Lineage: Eukaryota; Metazoa; Arthropoda; Insecta; Hemiptera; Aphididae
Source: the annotation of a GenBank genome assembly
CAGGGUAUAGGCACUGACUAAAUUGGUUUUUAGAACUACCCAUAUUGGUUAUAACUACCCGUUAGUGCAAGCUCUGAACUAUAGGCUUCUGCUGACGCGUUUAAACCGUCAUCUUGAUGGACUGCUAAACAACAAAUCGAAGAAACAGUACGGAUUUCGCGCAGGAAUAUGUGCUCGAUAGCACGCUGCGAAAAGGAUUCUUACUAUUGCUGGGAAAGCUGCUCGGGGACCAGUUCAAAAACGAGAUUUAUGUGCGGUCGUCUCACUAGAUGUGAGCAAUACCUUCAAUACAUCUCCGUGAACUAGAAUUGACCAUGCCCUGGAAGUAAAGGCUGUACCAAGCUACCUGAGAAAUAUCCUCAGGGUCUUAUCUCGAGGACCGAUCGCUUAUUGUUGGUGAAACACAGACUCAAAAAACCGUAACAUGCAGCAGAUCUGCUUGACACCUGGAGUACUAGCCAAUUUUUGAGCGGUGCCAGGUGGACAGGUCGUAUAUCUGGCAAGUAACGGUAGUGGCUGAAGAAAAAAGGCGGACCAUCACUGAAUGGUGCGAUUACUGGUGAGACACGUGCAAGGAAGCGUGAACCGGACAACUGUCGCGUGGCGCGAGUAGUAUGACGUCACAAAAUUCGUUUCACGCGGCUUUUUUCGCGGUAUAAUUUCGGAUCGGCCUAGGAAGAGGUCUAGAUCAAAGAAUAGCCGGGCGGGCCGUGCCGCACGGCAAAAGAUGCCCAGUGUGGACAUGUUAUUUGGCAAAAAUGCCAAGCAGCUGUUGAAUAUAUCGUAAAAUAUAUGUUAAUACUAUGUUAUUAUUGUUUUAAUUUAAAAAAGUAUACAUUUUGACACAGUAUUUAAAUAUUUGUAUUUCAAAGUAAUU